AUCGAGCUGUCAUCAAGGCUGUCAUUUUUUAUUCACCCGCGCGCGUGUUUGAUCCUGUUUGUGUGGCGCAGUUGAAAUCAAAAAUUCUCAAGUCGAAUCGCGUGUGCUCGUGAAGGAACAACAUCCGGCGUUCGGAACAAAUACACCGGGUGACCGAACCGGAACGGCGGGAUGGCGGAAUUUUCGCAUAUUUGGGGACUUCUUCUACCAGGCCCGGCGCCUGCUGCGGACACUUCCGGCCGGAUUUGUUCAGGAUGGUCGUUUCGUCUGGAGGCGAAAAUCGUUAGGGGCCUAUUCCACUGAGGAUUGUGCUUCAUAAAUACGCGAGAGUUCAUCCCAAGUACGACGCAGUAGUUCCGGCACCGGCUACAAACAUUUCGAACAACUUCAGAAAGUUCGGAUUGAAGCAGAAUAUUAAAAGAAAA
Culex pipiens pallens (northern house mosquito) is the source of this 425-nucleotide long non-coding RNA. RefSeq lists it as uncharacterized. The record is from RefSeq and is a predicted model, not a curated record. Lineage: Eukaryota; Metazoa; Arthropoda; Insecta; Diptera; Culicidae. The transcript is spliced from 3 exons.